RNAcentral lists this ribosomal RNA (234 nucleotides) under uncultured bacterium. Its description in RNAcentral is "partial 16S ribosomal RNA". It matches the Rfam family "Bacterial small subunit ribosomal RNA", at positions 120 to 354 of the family's 1533-position model. The record is from RNAcentral.
AUGAACCUGCCUUUCAGAGGGGGACAACAGCUGGAAACGGCUGCUAAUACCGCAUAACACAUAGGUGUCGCAUGGCAUUUAUGUCAAAGAUUUAUCGCUGAGAGAUGGCCUCGCGUCUGAUUAGCUAGUUGGUAGGGUAACGGCCUACCAAGGCGACGAUCAGUAGCCGGACUGAGAGGUUGGCCGGCCACAUUGGGACUGAGAUACGGCCCAGACUCCUACGGAAGGCAGCAG